GACCUGGCUGAUCUGUCCUCCUCAUCGAGCGUACGGAUUCGGUCGGGUCUUUCCUUCUGGGGAGCCCCAUGUCCUUUAGUGGGUGUGGUGGGGAACCAGGACUUUUACCUUGAAAAAAUUAGAGUGUUCAAAGCAGGCCUUUGCUCGAAUACAUUAGCAUGGAAUAAUAGAAUAGGACUU
Molecule: ribosomal RNA, 180 nt
Filed under: uncultured Glomeromycotina
Lineage: Eukaryota; Fungi; Glomeromycota
Description: partial small subunit ribosomal RNA
Rfam family: Eukaryotic small subunit ribosomal RNA (bases 89-180)
Source: RNAcentral